UCAAAUUAUAAAGUAUAUAACGUUUUAAAGUACCCACUUAGAUUGGAUUUCUUUACAUUAAUAUGAAGGAUAGACUUCCUGCUACUUCUUUCUGGUCGGCUUACAUAAAUUUAUUUUUUUACAUAUUCCUCAUACCUAAUAUACCCUAUAAUCAUGAAGAAAGAAAAGUCUAGUUGUAAAGCUAUUAAUAGGCGAAGAUACACGCCAACGGUUAAUUUAGCUACAUAAUUUACAUGAAGUAUUGUCAAUUGUAGUUAUUUGUCAACUUCGCAUUGUUAUAAUGUAUACCU
This 290-nucleotide long non-coding RNA is filed under the name Mytilus galloprovincialis (Mediterranean mussel). Lineage: Eukaryota; Metazoa; Mollusca; Bivalvia; Mytilida; Mytilidae. The record is from RNAcentral.